Molecule: ribosomal RNA, 493 nt
Filed under: uncultured bacterium
Lineage: Bacteria
Description: partial 16S ribosomal RNA
Rfam family: Bacterial small subunit ribosomal RNA
Source: RNAcentral
GAUAAACGCUGGCGGCGUGCCUAAUACAUGCAAGUCGAGCGAACAGACGAGGAGCUUGCUCCUCUGAUGUUAGCGGCGGACGGGUGAGUAACACGUGGAUAACCUACCUAUAAGACUGGGAUAACUUCGGGAAACCGGAGCUAAUACCGGAUAACAUGUUGAACCGCAUGGUUCAACAGUGAAAGACGGUCUUGCUGUCACUUAUAGAUGGAUCCGCGCCGCAUUAGCUAGUUGGUAAGGUAACGGCUUACCAAGGCAACGAUGCGUAGCCGACCUGAGAGGGUGACCGGCCACACUGGAACUGAGACACGGUCCAGACACGGACGGGGGCAGUAGGGAAUCUUCCGCAAUGGGCGAAAGCCUGACGGAGCAACGCCGCGUGAGUGAAGAAGGUCUUCGGAUCGUAAAACUCUGUUAUUAGGGAAGAACAAAUGUGUAAGUAACUAUGCACGUCUUGACGGUACCUAAUCAGAAAGCCACGGCUAACUACGUG